Long non-coding RNA from Triticum aestivum (bread wheat), 1059 nucleotides. RefSeq lists it as uncharacterized. The record is from RefSeq and is a predicted model, not a curated record. The transcript is spliced from 3 exons. Lineage: Eukaryota; Viridiplantae; Streptophyta; Magnoliopsida; Poales; Poaceae.
CGACUAUACAGUUAAAAAACGCGAACAGAGAGGCGACACGAGAGGGGGUUUCCCGGCGGGUCGCCGGCGGGCUCUGGGAAGUGGGCGAGAUCUCGGACGGCCGCACCGCGGUUGUAGAUAAUGGUGUUUUAGGACUUGAUUAUGGCAUUUGCGGGCAGGCGGGGCCGACGUCGACGCAGUGGAAUAUGGUUUCUCCGGUUCCUUCCCCGUCGUGGCGGUGCUCUCUCCGGCGGCGCUGCAGGGUUAGGGAGGUUGGUCUCUCUCUGGUUCGGGCAUCCGGCGAGGUUUGGUCGGUGAAGGGCGUGUACAGGAGUUGGGAUUUUGUGGAGAGGGAUUUCCAGAUCCGGUCACCGCGGACGACUGGCAGCUGCGGACUGUAGUGGGCGAAUGGUUGGAGCUACUGCUCCACUCCGGCGAAGGCUUGCGCUGGUGGCAGCUUCGAAAACAGGGGAAGGGGAGCACGAGGUCUACCCCUGGCUGAUGCACAGGAACCCGCCCCUUGUUCCCGUCCAUGGUUGUCUCGUGGACGACCACUCUUCCUCGCACUGGUGGAUGCAGAGAUCGGCGUGCCUCGGUAAAGGAAGAUGAACUGGGCUGAUAUAGAAGGCAGUUUCGCAGUGGGGUCACUGACAAGCAAGUAUAUGUCUCUGCAGAGAAAUAAGUCCUGGAGCAUGCUUUAGUGAAGACUACUGAUCCAGAAUUGGCCGUAUGUUCAUGAACAGUUUUCUGCUACUGAAAUAAGUCCUGGAGCAGGCUUCAGUGUGGACUACUGAUCUACAAGUCUUAUGUUGAUGAACAAUUUUAUGUUGCUCUGACUGAACGGAUUGUUGUAAUUUAGCCAAACAACAUGUCACCGUGCCACUACCUAGGUUUUUGCACAAAUUUUUUGUCUGUUUGGGUGGUGCCAAGCUGCCAAUAAAAGACAGGCUGUCUUCUUGUUACAAUUCAUGCCAUUCUUAUUAUGAUGUGUUGUGUCGAACAGGACGGUCUUUCAGCAAUGGUCAUGUCCAUUGUUUUCCCACAAUUACAUGAUCAAUCUAUAAAGUGGAAUCUGCUACA